GACGAACGCUGGCGGCGUGCUUAACACAUGCAAGUCGAACGGUGAAGCGCCUUCCUUUUUGGUGGGUGUGGAUGAGUGGCGAACGGGUGAGUAACACGUGAGUAACCUGCCCCCUUCUUCUGGAUAACCGCAUGAAAGUGUGGCUAAUACGGGAUAUUCUGGGUCUGUCGCAUGAUGGGUCUGGGAAAGAUAUUGUUUCGGUGGGGGAUGGGCUCGCGGCCUAUCAGCUUGUUGGUGGGGUGAUGGCCUACCAAGGCGGUGACGGGUAGCCGGCCUGAGAGGGUGGACGGUCACACUGGGACGGAGACACGGCCCAGACUCCUACGGGAGGCAGCAGUGGGGAAUAGUGCACAAUGGGCGAAAGCCUGAUGCAGCGACGCCGCGUGAGGGAUGGAGGCCUUCGGGUUGUGAACCUCUUUCGCCAGUGAAGCAGGCCUGCCUCGUUUGUGGGUGGGUUGACGGUAGCUGGAUAAGAAGCGCCGGCUAACUACGUG
RNAcentral lists this ribosomal RNA (494 nucleotides) under uncultured bacterium. RNAcentral describes it as "partial 16S ribosomal RNA". It matches the Rfam family "Bacterial small subunit ribosomal RNA", at positions 28 to 507 of the family's 1533-position model. The record is from RNAcentral.